UACAGAGGUCCCAAGCGUUGUUCGGAUUCACUGGGCGUAAAGGGUGCGUAGGCGGUUGGGUAAGUCUGAUGUGAAAUCUCACAGCUAACUGUGAAAUUGCAUUGGAUACUAUCCGGCUAGAGGAAUGGAGGGGAGACUGGAAUACUUGGUGUAGCAGUGAAAUGCGUAGAUAUCAAGUGGAACACCAGUGGCGAAGGCGAGUCUCUGGACAUUUCCUGACGCUGAGGCACGAAAGCCAGGGGAGCAAACGGG
Molecule: ribosomal RNA, 252 nt
Filed under: uncultured bacterium
Lineage: Bacteria
Description: partial 16S ribosomal RNA
Rfam family: Bacterial small subunit ribosomal RNA
Source: RNAcentral